Molecule: ribosomal RNA, 796 nt
Filed under: Osornophryne guacamayo (Guacamayo plump toad)
Lineage: Eukaryota; Metazoa; Chordata; Amphibia; Anura; Bufonidae
Description: partial 16S ribosomal RNA
Rfam family: Bacterial large subunit ribosomal RNA
Source: RNAcentral
ACUAAGCAAUACUAUACCUCUAUAGAAAAUUUUAUGUUAAAACUAGUAACAAGAAGACAGACCUUCUCUUAAAUGUAAACGUAAAUCAUAAGGACAAACCACUGAUAUUUAACGCUCAAGAACCAGAAGUAAUAACCAACCAAGAAAACUUUACUUUAAUUAACGUUAACCUAACACAAGAGCAUUUCAAGAAAGAUUAAAAGAAAAAGAAGGAACUCGGCAAACUUUAACCUCGCCUGUUUACCAAAAACAUCACCUCUUGAUAAUAAUGAGAGGCCCAGCCUGCCCAGUGACCCAGUUCAACGGCCGCGGUAUCCUAACCGUGCGAAGGUAGCGUAAUCACUUGUUCUUUAAAUAAGGACUAGUAUGAACGGCAUCACGAGGGUUAUGCUGUCUCCUUUUUCCGAUCAGUGAAACUAAUUUCCCCGUGAAGAAGCGGGGAUAAAAUUAUAAGACGAGAAGACCCUAUGGAGCUUCAAACAACACAACAAAUGCCAAACAACUUAAAAAUUUCAUAACUCCAAAUUUACUCAGCAUUAUGAUUGUUAGUUUUAGGUUGGGGUGACCGCGGAGCAAAACACAACCUCCACAUUGAAAGAAUUUUAUUCUAAGCCAAGAACCACAACUCAAAGCAUCUAUAUAUUGACAUUAAUUGACCCAAUAAACUUGAACAACGAACCAAGUUACCCUAGGGAUAACAGCGCAAUCUACUUCAAGAGCCCCUAUCGACAAGUAGGUUUACGACCUCGAUGUUGGAUCAGGGUCUCCAAGUGGUGCAGCCGCUACUAAAGGUUCG